This 497-nucleotide ribosomal RNA is filed under the name uncultured bacterium. RNAcentral's name for it is "partial 16S ribosomal RNA". It matches the Rfam family "Bacterial small subunit ribosomal RNA", at positions 28 to 507 of the family's 1533-position model. The record is from RNAcentral.
GAUGAACGCUGGCGGCGUGCCUAAUACAUGCAAGUCGAGCGAACAGACGAGGAGCUUGCUCCUCUGACGUUAGCGGCGGACGGGUGAGUAACACGUGGAUAACCUACUUAUAAUACUGGGAUAACUUCGGGAAACCGGAGCUACUACCGGAUAAUAUAUUGAACCGCAUGGUUCAAUAGUGAAAGACGGUUUUGCUGUCACUUAUAGAUGGAUCCGCGCCGCAUUAGCUAGUUGGUAAGGUAACGGCUUACCAAGGCAACGAUGCGUAGCCGACCUGAGAGGGUGAUCGGCCACACUGGAACUGAGACACGGUCCAGACUCCUACGGGAGGCAGCAGUAGGGAAUCUUCGGCAAUGGGCGAAAGCUUGACGGAGCAACGCCGCGUGAGUGAUGAAGGUCUUCGGAUCGUAAAACUCUGUUAUUAGGGAAGAACAAAUGUGUAAGUAACUAUGCACGUCUUGACGGUACCUAAUCAGAAAGCCACGGCUAACUACGUG